This 261-nucleotide long non-coding RNA is filed under the name Phoenix dactylifera (date palm). Its description in RNAcentral is "long non-coding RNA (PDAC_LNC016991)". Lineage: Eukaryota; Viridiplantae; Streptophyta; Magnoliopsida; Arecales; Arecaceae. The record is from RNAcentral.
GUUGAUUUUCAAACAUCAUUCUUAAUCUUUCUGAACUUACAGUGAACUUGUUAAUAAGAGAUUUUAGUUGGUCAACUUCUUCACUCAAGUUUUGGUUUGUUUUGAUUAAGCUAUGAUUUUUCUGAAUCAAUUCUUCUGAAUUUAACCUUAAGCUUUUAUUUUCAGAAUUUAGUUUGUCUUGUAUUUCAGCAAUAGAAUUUCUUUCUUUUGAAAUUUCCAAAUUUAGCUUUUUAAGAUUUUUAUUUUUCAUAGCUAAUUUUU